AGAUAGAGGCGCGACUGACAUGAGUAUCCGGAGCGCGGCGCAGGGGCCGCCGGAGAAAGGGGAUGUCGCCGAAGGUUUCGUACCUCCUGAGGGUUCGGAUCCUGGGCCGCAGGUCAACAGCCUGCGGACUGUCGCGAAAGCGGAGCGCUAUCAUG
This 155-nucleotide non-coding RNA is filed under the name Mobilibacterium timonense. RNAcentral describes it as "Lysine riboswitch". It matches the Rfam family "Lysine riboswitch aptamer". From Rfam's summary of the family: Riboswitches are metabolite binding domains within certain messenger RNAs that serve as precision sensors for their corresponding targets. Allosteric rearrangement of mRNA structure is mediated by ligand binding, and this results in modulation of gene expression. The record is from RNAcentral. Lineage: Bacteria; Bacillati; Bacillota; Clostridia; Peptostreptococcales; Anaerovoracaceae.